This 433-nucleotide ribosomal RNA is filed under the name uncultured bacterium. RNAcentral describes it as "partial 16S ribosomal RNA". It matches the Rfam family "Bacterial small subunit ribosomal RNA", at positions 29 to 507 of the family's 1533-position model. The record is from RNAcentral.
AACGAACGCUGGCGGCAUGCCUAACACAUGCAAGUCGAACGAGACCUUCGGGUCUAGUGGCGCAUGGGUGCGUAACGCGUGGGAACCUGCCCUUAGGCUCGGAAUAACUCCCCGUAGGGGGUGCUAAUACCGGAUAAUGUCCUCGGACCAAAGAUUUGUCGCCUUUGGAUGGGCCCGCGUUGGUUUAGCUUGUUGGUAGGGUAAAAGCCUACCACGGCGACGAUCCAUAGCUGGUCUGAGAGGAUGAUCAGCGACACUGGGACUGAGACACGGCCGAGACUCCUACGGGAGGCAGCAGUGGGGAAUAUAGGACAAUGGGCGAAAGCCUGAUCCAGCAAUGCCGCGUGAGUGAUGAAGGCCUUAGGGUUGUAAAGCUCUUUUACCCGGGAUGAUAAUGACAGUACCGGGAGAAUAAGCUCCGGCUAACUCCGUG